ACCUAGGACCCAGCUGGGUCCCAUCCCUUUGGAGUAGCUGCUUCAGACUAGCCUAGGAAGCACCUAAUUCUUGUGGGCAAAGGAGCCAUGGAAGAUAGAGCUGGUGAGCAAGAGCAGGAGAGACACAGCCUUCGUCUGGAAAAGCUACAACACUGGGCAAGGCACAGGCAGAGUGGGCACCUCUUGGUGCUAGCGGUGAGCCAGCUAUGGCUGGCAGUGGUUGUGGUGCCCCUUGCUGUCUCAGUCGCCUGCCUGAACUCUGAUUGUCACAUGGCCACAGCGCUGCCUCUUGGGCCUGGAGCCUCAGGUCUCCUCACUGGGACUGUCACUCUGGAGCUUCGCAGAGCACCCCGCCUUUGGAAGGUGAGAGGGAAGAAAACGCAGCACUGUCCUCCCACUCCCUAAAACAGACACCUACAACCCUCAGCCUAGGAACAUGCUGGCUUGCUGGUGCUGGAACUCAGUGCUGAGGCCUUCACCCUAGGGGGAGUGCUGGUCUCAGUGCACGCCCUAUUCUUGCUGAGCCAGAGGAAACCAGGAUGCUGCAGGAGCCAGAGUCUGCACUAUCAAGAGCUGCAGGAGGGCUUCUCUGAGUUGGAAGAGGUUCCUGGUUUGGAGAAUGGUCCCACGGUGGCCAGCACAGGAGCAAAUGAGAGGGUGGGACAGCGGGAACAGACACGUGCUGCUCUCCUUCCACCCUGAGAGAAUGCUCUCCAGACAUUCCUGCAUCCCACCCCACCAAACUCAGAAGCUUGCUGGGAUCCUUCGAGUCCAAUAGGAAGUCCGGGAGUGCCUUCAGUUUUCACUCAAAGCAGGCCCUUUUUUCGUUCCUUCCCUGUUAGGGGAAGAUACACCUGGACGAGAAUAUAUCCUCACCUCACCACCCUGAAAAGCUGCUUUCUCCCUUGCAUCCAUAUCCUCUCUUCCUGUCACCUCCCCAUACAGCUUCACAUUUGCCUCAUCGCACUUUUCUUUUCUGUCCACCUUUCAUAAUCCCAUCCACUCCAAAUCCCGGACCCUGCACACGCCAACUCCCUGAAUCCAAUUCAGGAGUGCCCCAGUUCCCCUUUCGAUCCAUCUCCUUUCUACUGUAGCGGAGACUACAAGUCCCAGGAUGCCCCGCUAGCCCGUGACCGGCUAGGAAAUAAAGAGCCUUCUCUCCGCGGU
This 1167-nucleotide long non-coding RNA is filed under the name Homo sapiens (human). Its description in RNAcentral is "HSALNT0207940". Lineage: Eukaryota; Metazoa; Chordata; Mammalia; Primates; Hominidae. The record is from RNAcentral.